This 446-nucleotide ribosomal RNA is filed under the name uncultured bacterium. Its description in RNAcentral is "bacterial SSU rRNA". It matches the Rfam family "Bacterial small subunit ribosomal RNA", at positions 329 to 792 of the family's 1533-position model. The record is from RNAcentral.
CGCCAGACUCCUACGGGAGGCAGCAGUGGGGAAUAUUGCACAAUGGGGGAAACCCUGAUGCAGCGACGCCGCGUGAGUGAAGAAGUAUUUCGGUAUGUAAAGCUCUAUCAGCAGGGAAGAAAAUGACGGUACCUGACUAAGAAGCCCCGGCUAACUACGUGCCAGCAGCCGCGGUAAUACGUAGGGGGCAAGCGUUAUCCGGAUUUACUGGGUGUAAAGGGAGCGUAGACGGCAUGGCAAGUCAGAUGUGAAAGCCCGGGGCUCAACCCCGGGACUGCAUUUGAAACUGUCAGGCUGGAGUGCAGGAGAGGUAAGUGGAAUUCCUGGUGUAGCGGUGAAAUGCGUAGAUAUUAGGAGGAACACCAGUGGCGAAGGCGGCUUACUGGACUGUAACUGACGUUGAGGCUCGAAAGCGUGGGGAGCAAACAGGAUUAGAUACCCUGGUA